CCUUUCGUAGCUUAGUGGUUAGAGCACUGGCGCGUGAUGCUAAAUGUCUUGGGUUCGAUUCCCGGCGAGGA
RNAcentral lists this transfer RNA (71 nucleotides) under Agrilus planipennis (emerald ash borer). It matches the Rfam family "tRNA". From Rfam's summary of the family: Transfer RNA (tRNA) molecules are approximately 80 nucleotides in length. Their secondary structure includes four short double-helical elements and three loops (D, anti-codon, and T loops). Further hydrogen bonds mediate the characteristic L-shaped molecular structure. tRNAs have two regions of fundamental functional importance: the anti-codon, which is responsible for specific mRNA codon recognition, and the 3' end, to which the tRNAs corresponding amino acid is attached (by aminoacyl-tRNA synthetases). tRNAs cope with the degeneracy of the genetic code in two manners: having more than one tRNA (with a specific anti-codon) for a particular amino acid; and 'wobble' base-pairing, i.e. permitting non-standard base-pairing at the 3rd anti-codon position. The record is from Rfam by way of RNAcentral. Lineage: Eukaryota; Metazoa; Arthropoda; Insecta; Coleoptera; Buprestidae.